RNAcentral lists this ribosomal RNA (189 nucleotides) under uncultured fungus. RNAcentral describes it as "partial 18S ribosomal RNA". It matches the Rfam family "Eukaryotic small subunit ribosomal RNA", at positions 697 to 887 of the family's 1831-position model. Lineage: Eukaryota; Fungi. The record is from RNAcentral.
CUACCUUCUGACGAACCAUCAUGUCAUUAAUUUGGUGUGGUGGGGAAUCAGGACUGUUACUUUGAAAAAAUUAGAGUGUUUAAAGCAGGCUCGCGCUUGAAUACAUUAGCAUGGAAUAAUGAAAUAGGACGUUGAUCCUAUUUUGUUGGUUUCUAGGAUUGACGUAAUGAUUAAUAGGGAUAGUUGGGA